RNAcentral lists this ribosomal RNA (115 nucleotides) under Pteropus alecto (black flying fox). The record is from RNAcentral. Lineage: Eukaryota; Metazoa; Chordata; Mammalia; Chiroptera; Pteropodidae.
GUCUCGGCCACGCCACCCUGAACGAGCCCCAUGUCUGACCUCGGAAGCUCAGCAGGGUUGGGCCUGGUUAGUACUUGGAUGGAAGACCACCCAGGAAGACCAGGUGCUGCAGGCA